AACGAACGCUGGCGGCGUGCUUAACACAUGCAAGUCGAACGAGAAAGAUUUCUUCGGAAAUUGAGUAGAGUGGCGCACGGGUGAGUAACGCGUAGGUAAUCUACCCUAAUAUUUGGGAUAACAUUGGGAAACUGGUGCUAAUACCGAAUACCCUUCUUUUCUGUCGGGUUAAGGAGGAAAGGUGGCCUCUUCAUGAAAGCUACCGUAUAAGGAUGAGCCUGCGUACCAUUAGCUAGUAGGUGGGGUAAAGGCCCACCUAGGCUACGAUGGUUAGCGGGUCUGAGAGGAUGAUCCGCCACACUGGAACUGGAACACGGACCAGACUCCUACGGGAGGCAGCAGUGAGGAAUAUUGCGCAAUGGGGGAAACCCUGACGCAGCGAUGCCGCGUGGGUGAAGAAGGCCUUCGGGUCGUAAAGCCCUGUCAGAUGGGAAGAAUAGCCUGGGGACGAAUAAUCCUCAGGUAUGACGGUACCAUCGAAGGAAGCACCGGCUAACUCCGUG
RNAcentral lists this ribosomal RNA (503 nucleotides) under uncultured delta proteobacterium. RNAcentral's name for it is "bacterial SSU rRNA". It matches the Rfam family "Bacterial small subunit ribosomal RNA", at positions 29 to 507 of the family's 1533-position model. Lineage: Bacteria; Deltaproteobacteria. The record is from RNAcentral.